AUUAUGAGUAGAAGAGCAGUAGUAUAGCUUUAGCUCGUCGUUUGAGAUUGUGUUAGUAGUCUCGUUUUUGUGGAAGUGAUAAUUAUCUGAGAUUGUUUACCAGGAAGCUGAAGACUGAAGAGGCAAAAAGUACAUGCACAGAGGAGCACGAAAACCUCUCCCAAGAUCUGGUAAACUUCAGAAGAUGGCGGUAUUUUUGAAACCAGAACAGCUGAAAGUGGGACACCAUGUCUCAGCUGAAUCCAAACAAUGCCACCCUUUCUAAGUUUUUUUCAAGGGAAAAGAUUUGAAUUCUUUGAGGAGCACUUCAAUAAAAAGAUGAGGAAGCAAUUAUAGAAUCUGAUUUUAAGGAAAGAGAAGGAAAGCCUGAAGUACAAGGACUGCUUCAAAAACGACAGCAGAGGGACAGUCUGACAAAAUGGUAUCUGAUGUGGAAGUGCAUAUGGAGCAAAGGUGUAGAAUUAAAUUCCUUCAAGUGGAAAAAAAUUGCGCCCAUUGACACUGCUGAACAUUGGUGGAGACCUAACAUUUCCCUGGAGAAAAAAAAAAAAAAAUAGGAGGCUUUACUUUUGGAGCUACCUACAAAGUGUGUUUUAGGGCAUCCAAAUUUUGCUGUGGGGGCAUUUCAGCUGAUUGACUAUGUUUAUAAAAGAAAGAAGAGAUGAGAAGGAUGGUAAAGACUUGUGGAGAAUUCAGGUCAAUUCUGGAGGUUUUUCUUCAAACACUUUCAAAUUGCAAAGCAAGGUCUGUCCUUGCUUACUUGAAGUGGGUUCCUGUUCAUAUGUGGACACGCUGCUAGCCUGCAUAGAAGAGACAGAAGAUUUGUUCAACCCGCUUCUGAAGGCAGUGGAGACAAUUGAUGCUCUCUCAUGGCUGGUGCAGGAGCUUAUCCUAAGAGUGAAACAUCCUAGGACAGCAGAAGCAAAAAGUGAAUGAGGAUAAAUAUUAACGAAAAAGGAGUCCUUGGAACAAGAUGAAUCUCUUCGUAUCAGUUUUGAAAUAGAAGUUUAGCAUUGACUUUGAGAGCUUUUCUGGCAAGUGAUGGAAGCAAGAACUGUACUGCUGAGAAGAGCAAUUAUUUGAAAGAAGGCUUGAAUGUAAGUGGAAAUAUAAAUUCAUGCCAUCUCACAUCAAGGUCAGGCUUCUAUCUCAGGAAGUAAAGACAAUUUUUUUUUUUUUUAAGUUUAUUUAGUAUAACUUAGCAGUCUUAGCAGACACUGAUUUCUAAGAAGAUAUUUUUAAAUCUAACAUUCCUCAGUUUGCCUAGAACAGAAUUCCUUUGAAAAAUCCAGAGAGUGUGCUCUCAACUUGACUUAAUACUGUCCUGCCUCACUCCAGCACAUCUCAAAACAGGCUCCUGCUCCUGUGAGGACAGGCUGCUAGCUGCAGCCAGGGAUAUGAAGAGAUGAGCACCACAGUUUAAAGGGUCUUGGGGGCAGAAGAAAAUACAGUGCUGUGUCUGAGGGCUCUGCAGAUAGAAUUAAUGGGAGAAUAAUUGACCAAGCUGUGGAAAUCUUUGACCACGCAGGUCACAGUGAAGCUUUUCUUUACAGGAUUGAAAUAAUGUGAUAAUACAAGAGUCCUGAACCUUCCCAGUGGACUUAAAGGUAGCUAAAAUAAAUAAAUAGCAUUUGUAUUU
Gallus gallus (chicken) is the source of this 1639-nucleotide long non-coding RNA. The record is from Ensembl. NCBI's taxonomy places the organism in Eukaryota, Metazoa, Chordata, Aves, Galliformes, Phasianidae.